UACGUAGGGUGCAGGCGUUAAUCGGAAUUACUGGGCGUAAAGCGUGCGCAGGCGGUUUCCUAAGUCAGAUGUGAAAGCCCCGGGCUUAACCUGGGAACUGCGUUUGAAACUGGGAGACUUGAGUGUGGCAGAGGGGGGUGGAAUUCCACGUGUAGCAGUGAAAUGCGUAGAUAUGUGGAGGAACACCGAUGGCGAAGGCAGCCCCCUGGGUUAACACUGACGCUCAUGCACGAAAGCGUGGGGAGCAAACAGG
This 253-nucleotide ribosomal RNA is filed under the name uncultured bacterium. RNAcentral describes it as "partial 16S ribosomal RNA". It matches the Rfam family "Bacterial small subunit ribosomal RNA", at positions 524 to 776 of the family's 1533-position model. The record is from RNAcentral.